GUGGGAGAGCAACUGAAACUGAUUAACUAGAGUGCGAUAGGGGUAGAGGGAAUCCCCAGUGUAGCGUUGAAAUGCGUAGAUAUUGGAAAGAACACCAGUGGCGAAGGCGCUCUACUGGGUCGCAACUGACGCUGAGGGACGAAAGCUAGGGGAGCGAAAGGGAUUAGAUACCCCUGUAGUCCUAGCCGUAAACGAUGGACACUAGGUGUUGGGCGUAUCGACCCGUCCAGUACCGCAGCAAACGCGUUAAGUGUCCCGCCUGGGGAGUACGCACGCAAGUGUGAAACUCAAAGGAAUUGACGGGGGCCCGCACAAGCGGUGGAGUAUGUGGUUUAAUUCGAUGCAACGCGAAGAACCUUACCAGGGCUUGACAUCCCGCGAACUUUGCUGAAAGGCGAAGGUGCCUUCGGGAACGCGGAGACAGGUGGUGCAUGGCUGUCGUCAGCUCGUGUCGUGAGAUGUUGGGUUAAGUCCCGCAACGAGCGCAACCCACGUCCUUAGUUGCCAGCAUUAAGUUGGGCACUCUGGGGAGACUGCCGGGGACAACUCGGAGGAAGGUGUGGAUGACGUCAAGUCAUCAUGCCCCUUACGUUCUGGGCUACACACGUACUACAAUGCUACGGACAAAGGGCAGCCAGACCGCGAGGUUGAGCUAAUCCCAUAAACCGUGGCUCAGUUCAGAUUGCAGGCUGCAACUCGCCUGCAUGAAGGCGGAAUCGCUAGUAAUCGCAGGUCAGCAUACUGCGGUGAAUACGUUCCCGGGCCUUGUACACACCGCCCGUCACACCAUGGGAGUUGGCCACGCCCGAAGUCGUUACUCUAACCAUUCGUGGAGGAGGGUGCCGAAGGUGGGGCUGAUGACUGGGGUGAAGUCGUAACAAGGUAGCCGUACCGGAAGGUGUGGCUGGAUCACCU
RNAcentral lists this ribosomal RNA (915 nucleotides) under uncultured cyanobacterium. RNAcentral describes it as "bacterial SSU rRNA". It matches the Rfam family "Bacterial small subunit ribosomal RNA", at positions 615 to 1528 of the family's 1533-position model. Lineage: Bacteria; Bacillati; Cyanobacteriota. The record is from RNAcentral.